Paramuricea clavata is the source of this 277-nucleotide non-coding RNA. NCBI's taxonomy places the organism in Eukaryota, Metazoa, Cnidaria, Anthozoa, Malacalcyonacea, Plexauridae. The record is from the annotation of a GenBank genome assembly.
CCAUGGUAUAAUUAAUGAGAAAUUGAUUCGCAUUUUAUAUGUUUACGGCAUUUUGAGCCAAAUUCUCCGUGAGUUUGAUCAGGAUGCACCGUAUGUGUUUAAGCAGGGCGCUAUAAAACGUGUUUUAUAGCGCCCUGGUUUAAAUCCGCCGCACAUCGACACGAAAGCUAUUAGCUGAGCUAACGGCCUCGCGAGACCGCUAGCUUUAUUAGAUAAUAGAGAGGUUAAGAUACACCGGUUUCGGUGUACGGGUACGAGUAGUGUCAUCUUGUUUUAC